Molecule: ribosomal RNA, 433 nt
Filed under: uncultured bacterium
Lineage: Bacteria
Description: bacterial SSU rRNA
Rfam family: Bacterial small subunit ribosomal RNA
Source: RNAcentral
UGAGGAAUAUUGGUCAAUGGGCGAGAGCCUGAACCAGCCAAGCCGCGUGAAGGAAGACGGCCCUAUGGGUUGUAAACCUCUUUGUCAGGGAACAAAAGCGAGUAUGUAUACUAGUCUGAGUGUACCUGAAGAAAAAGCAUCGGCUAACUCCGUGCCAGCAGCCGCGGUAAUACGGAGGAUGCGAGCGUUAUCCGGAUUUAUUGGGUUUAAAGGGUGCGUAGGCGGCGAUGCAAGUCAGCGGUAAAAGCCCGGGGCUCAACCCCGGCGAGCCGUUGAAACUGCAGUGCUAGAGAAGGCGAGAGGUACGCGGAAUGCGCAGUGUAGCGGUGAAAUGCUUAGAUAUUGCGCAGAACUCCGAUUGCGAAGGCAGCGUACUGGCGCCUGACUGACGCUGAGGCACGAAAGCGUGGGGGAUCGAACAGGAUUAGAUACC